Non-coding RNA from Myotis brandtii (Brandt's bat), 81 nucleotides. NCBI's taxonomy places the organism in Eukaryota, Metazoa, Chordata, Mammalia, Chiroptera, Vespertilionidae. The record is from Rfam.
AGGACUGAAGAGAGAAGCAGGGUCUGAUCCGUAGUUUCUGUGGCAGCUGUUGAUCAGCACUUGUCUCUCUCUUUCUCUCCA